UGUCGUCAGCUCGUGUUGUGAAAUGUUGGGUUAAGUCCCGCAACGAGCGCAACCCUUAUCCUUUGUUGCCAGCGGUCCGGCCGGGAACUCAAAGGAGACUGCCAGUGAUAAACUGGAGGAAGGUGGGGAUGACGUCAAGUCAUCAUGGCCCUUACGACCAGGGCUACACACGUGCUACAAUGGCGCAUACAAAGAGAAGCGACCUCGCGAGAGCAAGCGGACCUCAUAAAGUGCGUCGUAGUCCGGAUUGGAGUCUGCAACUCGACUCCAUGAAGUCGGAAUCGCUAGUAAUCGUGGAUCAGAAUGCCACGGUGAAUACGUUCCCGGGCCUUGUACACACC
Molecule: ribosomal RNA, 341 nt
Filed under: Escherichia coli
Lineage: Bacteria; Pseudomonadati; Pseudomonadota; Gammaproteobacteria; Enterobacterales; Enterobacteriaceae
Also listed under: 5 other names
Description: bacterial SSU rRNA
Rfam family: Bacterial small subunit ribosomal RNA
Source: RNAcentral